GUGAGGAAUAUUGGACAAUGGGCGCAAGCCUGAUCCAGCCAUGCCGCGUGCAGGAAGACGCAUCUAUGGUGUGUAAACUGCUUUUGUACGGGAAGAAACACUCCCUCGUGAGGGAGCUUGACGGUACCGUAAGAAUAAGGAUCGGCUAACUCCGUGCCAGCAGCCGCGGUAAUACGGAGGAUCCAAGCGUUAUCCGGAAUCAUUGGGUUUAAAGGGUCCGUAGGCGGGUUAAUAAGUCAGUGGUGAAAGCCCAUCGCUCAACGAUGGAACGGCCAUUGAUACUGUUAGACUUGAAUUACAAGGAAGUAACUAGAAUAUGUAGUGCAGCGGUGAAAUGCUUAGAUAUUACAUGGAAUACCAAUUGCGAAGGCAGGUUACUACUUGUGGAUUGACGCUGAUGGACGAAAGCGUGGGGAGCGAACAGGAUUAGAAACCCGAGUAGUCC
This 445-nucleotide ribosomal RNA is filed under the name uncultured bacterium. RNAcentral's name for it is "partial 16S ribosomal RNA". It matches the Rfam family "Bacterial small subunit ribosomal RNA", at positions 354 to 796 of the family's 1533-position model. The record is from RNAcentral.